Oryza sativa Japonica Group (Japanese rice) is the source of this 362-nucleotide non-coding RNA. The record is from RefSeq and is a predicted model, not a curated record. NCBI's taxonomy places the organism in Eukaryota, Viridiplantae, Streptophyta, Magnoliopsida, Poales, Poaceae.
AUUUGCAAUUCCAUGUUAGCAUGUAAUUCCAUGUUGCAUUUGCAAUUACUGCAGUUAUAUAAGAUAGACUAUUUUGUUGUAUGUCUUCAGAUUCUCCCCUUGCUGAGGAGUAGUUGGUCUAUGAGACUACACAUAGUAAAGGAGAGGGGGCUUCAUCUUUGCUGAGGAAAGCAUUAACAGAUCAUACAUAACGAGAGGAAUGCCGACAAAGAAAGGAAAUAAAUUUAGCUUGUUUUAGCUCUAGUUCUUGGGUAUAUGGUAUUACUAUAGUACCAGUCUUUUAGCUCAGUGUCAAGACAAAGUAUCAACUUGUAUGCUCUUUUAAAGUAUGAGUCAAUAUAAUAAAAAUAUAUCGUAGCUCA